Molecule: non-coding RNA, 26 nt
Filed under: Mus musculus (house mouse)
Lineage: Eukaryota; Metazoa; Chordata; Mammalia; Rodentia; Muridae
Source: RNAcentral
UAUUGAAAUGUUCUGGAACCUCGGUC